UGGCUCUGGCAUCGAUGAAGAACGCAGCGAAAUGCGAUAAGUAAUGCGAAUUGCAGAUUUCAGUGAGUCAUCGAAUCUUUGAACGCACAUUGCGCCCCUUGGUAUUCCGGGGGGCAUGCCUGUUCGAGCGUCAUUAUCACCCCUCAAGCGUAGCUUGGUAUUGGGGCCUGCCUGGGAACGGGCAGCCCUUAAAAGCAGUGGCGGUGCCUUUAGGCUCUACGCGUAGUAAUUCACCUCGCUAUGGAGUCCUCGAGACACCUGCCAGAACCCCCCAUUUUCUAUGAUUGACCUCGGAUCAGGUAGGGAUACCCGCUGA
RNAcentral lists this unclassified non-coding RNA (316 nucleotides) under uncultured fungus. RNAcentral describes it as "partial contains 5.8S ribosomal RNA and internal transcribed spacer 2". The stretch from base 1 to 133 matches the Rfam family "5.8S ribosomal RNA", at positions 22 to 154 of the family's 154-position model. Lineage: Eukaryota; Fungi. The record is from RNAcentral.